AUCGCUUCUCGGCCUUUUGGCUAAGAUCAAGUGUAGUACAUAUGCAUACAGGUUAUACAUGUACACAUGUAUACAUAGAUUCCCAGUACUUAGCACUGCACUGCUUGUUGUUUUUAAAAUAUUUUUAUUGAUUUCAGAGAGGGAGAGAGAGAUAGAAACAUCAAUGAUGAGAGUGAAUCAUC
Myotis daubentonii (Daubenton's bat) is the source of this 182-nucleotide small nuclear RNA. RefSeq annotates it as U2 spliceosomal RNA. The record is from RefSeq and is a predicted model, not a curated record. NCBI's taxonomy places the organism in Eukaryota, Metazoa, Chordata, Mammalia, Chiroptera, Vespertilionidae.